Long non-coding RNA from Gambusia affinis (western mosquitofish), 1113 nucleotides. RefSeq lists it as uncharacterized. The record is from RefSeq and is a predicted model, not a curated record. The transcript has 5 exons. Lineage: Eukaryota; Metazoa; Chordata; Actinopteri; Cyprinodontiformes; Poeciliidae.
UUUUUUAAGGAGUCGCUGAUGUUUGUAUAUUUAGCAAUAAUUCAGUUCACGGGACACAUUUCAAUAGGUCCUACAUGACGUCACAUCCCCCAUGACCGGUGCUCUGUCGCCAUCUUUUUUCGUUUUGAAAUGAUCUUUCGCCAUAUUUAGAGUACGGAAACCUUUUUCCACUUCGUCGAUCCGCGUUAAAGAACCGCGAUGGUUGGAUGUUGUUGGAUGUGGUUGGAUGUGGUUGGAUGUUGUUGGAUGUUGUUGGUUGUUGUUGGAUUCAAGGACGUAAAAACAAAGGCGGUAAAACAGCGGAGAGAAGUUUUCAUUUCAUCCCGUGAAGGUGGGAAACUUUCCUGCUAAGCAUCAGUUGGCUAACCUGACUUCAUCAGCGCUACACACUCUGCUGGCUGGUGUGUGAAGCAGCGGUGGGGUUUCUGUUUGGACUUUAUUGCCUCCAUCUCUGGAGCAGCGGCAGAUCCUGCAGCUCUUGCAGCUCCGUCCACCUGACCCAACCUGUUGCUGCUCUCUGAUUGGCUGAACAUCUGGACUCUGGAGGAAAACUGACAGAGGAAACUUCCUGGGACGAAGGCGCACCAUCAGAUGGAUGGAAACAAAUCCCUGCAGCAGAUUCAACAUCUGGUGAAGUGCAGGAAGCCGAGACGCUCGCAGUGGAGGGUCAGCAGCAGAUUAACCAACCCGAUGAACCGAUGCUGCGUUCCAGGAACCUCGGAGAUAAUUAAUCUGUUCCAACCUUAAUGAAGGUCUGGACACAUCGUCUCAGAUUGCACCGAAUUUGGGGGGAGUAACGAGACGUGACCUCUGGUCACCACAGGGGUUUUUCCUUUUGCCCAAUUACGUCCUCGUCCUCAUCGGCGCCUCACAGUUUGAACAGGGAGCUGAUGGUUUCCACGACAACAAGCUUCAGGGGCAGUAGGAUAACGAGCCGGCGGACAUCCUCCAAAUUUCAGGAACGUUGGUUCCCACCAUGAAACCAGUGGGCUGGGAUAAACGCUUCGGACCAGAACCGUUCACCGGUCAGGAAAUCCAAACGACAAAUAUCAAGAUCAUGAAACUGAAAGUGAAGGUCACCAUAUAAAUAUAAAUCAAUAUAAAAUCAUUUUA